Molecule: ribosomal RNA, 236 nt
Filed under: uncultured bacterium
Lineage: Bacteria
Description: partial 16S ribosomal RNA
Rfam family: Bacterial small subunit ribosomal RNA
Source: RNAcentral
CACGCUGUAAACGAUGAAAACUAAGUAUUGCCGCGAGGCAGUGCUGUAGCUAACGCAUUAAGUUUUCCGCCUGGGGAGUACGCUCGCAAGAGUGAAACUUAAAGGAAUUGACGGGGGCCCGCACAAGCGGCGGAGCAUGCGGAUUAAUUCGAUGCAACGCGAAGAACCUUACCAAGGCUUGACAUAUAGAGGAAACGGCCAGAGAUGGUCGCCCCGCAAGGUCUCUAUACAGGUGG